UGUGGCUUGGUUCGAUCCAAUCCCCUCUGUUCAUGCUAAUUUGGUUCUGCAGUGUCACUGUCUACAGGGAUUGGGGCCUUUUGUGGCUAUGUACAUGUGCUGCAUCAGUACUACACAGGCAAUCUGCAAUCAACAACGCCGCGGUAGUAGAAUGAAGUUGUGGCUAUGAAGUAGAGGGAUUAUUGACCUUCUGGAGCUCGAACUUCUUGUUCUCGAACUCGUCGUCGGGGGAGGCCUGGCUCUACAGCUUCUCGGCAGUGUGCUAUGCGCCAUCUCCGCCUUCCUCUCCCUCCGCGCCCCCUCCUCUGACGGACCCUCCCACCCAUCGCCCAGGCGGCGAACCUGGCCGGCGCGUGGUCGCGGGAGAGACGGUGUGCGUGGUGGGGCCUCGGGUCCCAGCUGCAGAAGUGCAGCGCCGACGGCCUCGAAAGCCAGGCGGAGGUCGAGCACGGCGAAGAGCGCCGGCCGGGAGCGCACGGCCGCCCGCCAGGAGCGGCAGCACGCCAUGGCGCCGCGCCACAGGUCCUCCAGGCCCAGCCGCGAGAACGCCUCCUCCAGGCACACCGGCGUCAGAUCCGCCCACUCCCUCUGCUCCUCCUCCUCCCCCGGCGCCGCCUCGCCGGCCUCGCGUCCGGUUGCCAUCUCGCCUCCGCUCGCUUUUCUCUUCGGGUUGGUGGGCUGGUUGGUUCGGUUGGGUGGUGAGGGAAGGGGAGGGGCGAGAGCAGGGGGCGUGGGGGAGGCCAUGAACGACGGCGAGCUCCGCCGGAGGGAGGUGGCGGUGGCGGCGAUGGAUCUGGAAGGGAGGAGGCGAGCUCUCUCCAUCGGGCGAGACAGCGAGGAGACGGGGGAUCUGGAAUGGGAUUGAUGGAUCUGAAACUGGAAAGAAAGGAGGC
This 893-nucleotide ribosomal RNA is filed under the name Triticum aestivum (bread wheat). Its description in RNAcentral is "partial small subunit ribosomal RNA". Lineage: Eukaryota; Viridiplantae; Streptophyta; Magnoliopsida; Poales; Poaceae. The record is from RNAcentral.